This 458-nucleotide ribosomal RNA is filed under the name uncultured bacterium. RNAcentral's name for it is "bacterial SSU rRNA". It matches the Rfam family "Bacterial small subunit ribosomal RNA", at positions 29 to 527 of the family's 1533-position model. The record is from RNAcentral.
AACGAACGCUGGCGGCAGGCUUAACACAUGCAAGUCGAACGGUUGUAGCAAUACAGCAGUGGCAGACGGGUGAGUAGCACGUGGGAACCUUCCUAGGGGUACGGAACAACUCAGGGAAACUUGAGCUAAUACCGUAUACGUCCGUGAGGAGAAAGAUUUAUCGCCCUUAGACGGGCCCGCGUCGGAUUAGCUAGUUGGUGGGGUAACGGCCUACCAAGGCGACGAUCCGUAGCUGAUCUUAGAGGAUGAUCAGCCACACUGGGACUGAGACACGGCCCAGACUCUUACGGGAGGCAGCAGUGGGGAAUCUUGGACAAUGGGCGCAAGCCUGAUCCAGCCAUGCCGCGUGAGUGAAGAAGGUCUUCGGAUUGUAAAGCUCUUUUACCAGGGACGAUAAUGACGGUACCUGGAGAAUAAGCCCCGGCAAACUUCGUGCCAGCAGCCGCGGUAAAGUAUCG